RNAcentral lists this long non-coding RNA (2682 nucleotides) under Homo sapiens (human). RNAcentral's name for it is "HSALNT0186220". Lineage: Eukaryota; Metazoa; Chordata; Mammalia; Primates; Hominidae. The record is from RNAcentral.
CAGACAGCCACCCAGUUUUGUGCUUGAAACCCAGAGUCUGGUGGUGUCAGCACAUAAUGGAAUCUCCUGUUGUGAGGAUGGCGAAAACCGUGGGAAAAGUAUAGUAUCUGGCCUGGAUAGCACAGUCCCUCAUGGCUUCCCUUGGCUUAGGGAGGAGAUCCCCAGCUCCUUGCACUUCCUGGGUGAUUCUACACCCUACCCUGCUUCUGCUUGCCCUCCGCGGGCUGUAAUCACUGCCUAACCAGUCCCAGUGAGAUGAACUGCGUAUCUCAGUUGGAAAUAUAGAAAUCCCCCAACUUCUGCAUUGGUCUCGCUGGGAGCUGCAGACCAGAGCUCUUCCUAUUUGGCCAUCUUGCCAGAUCUCCAUAUUUUUGUAUAUAUACACAUAUAUAUUCUGAAAGGUCACGGGCUAUACAUAAAAUGAAGUAUACUUAUAUAUAUGUGCAAACAUACAUACAUACAAAUUAUACCUGUGUACAUGUAUAAAGUAUGUAUAUAUGCAUAAGCAUAUUUAUAUGUGCUGCAAUUUAAUUUUUUUCCUAGACAAAAUGGGAUCUGGAUUGAUUAUUUGAUUCAAAUAAUUUAUUGGUCUAGUCUUUUGUCAAUACUGAAUUUAGGGUGGAGCAAUCAUGGUAUAAUCUUGGAAAAGGAAACUGGGACCUUAGCAGACAUCAAACCUGCCAGUACCAUGACCUGCAGUUCUCAGCCUCCAGAACUGUGAGAAAUAAAUUUCUGUUAUCAAUUAGCAAAUAUGUGUAAUUCUGCUAUAGUAACAUAAGGUGACUAAGGACAAAUUGGACAGUUUUCAUUCACUGGGCCUCAAUGGGAGUGCAAUCUUAAGGGAAGAGCUAGUUUCCAGCAGCAGUAAGGAUGUCAGUGAGACAUUUAGUGAAGAAGCAGAAGUGGUAGGAAAACCUAUUUAGUAUAAGUCUUUGGACAAAUCUAAAUUACAGUUUGAUCAUUGUUUCCUCAAAAAUACUUAUACUGUCAUGUACUACCCCCACCUUGCCUUUGCCAAUAAGACAAAGAAAGCUCUUGGCAUUUAGGUAGAGAGCACCCUUCCUACUCUAAUCUAUCCAUUGGUGCUUAGUAUGCAAUAAGGAAGCAAAAGGGUAGCAUUUAAAACCUCACCUCAGUAUACUUGAAUUGUCUAAGAUGCCUGGAAGAACGGCGAGACGGUGUUUCUGCUAGCAAGUCUUGACAAUGGCAGCAUGAGCAAUGAGUUUCUACCUCAUCGGGUUGCCCCCAAGAGGAAGUGCUGUAUUUCACUUUUGUGACACUAACUGGGUUUUCCUGUGAUUCUAAGUACUUAUCUCUAAGUCUGCCUCACCAACCCAACAUGCUUAAAAUUCAAAUCUAUAUUUUACAAAAUUAGGCCUAUGAGCUUGCACUAAUUCAAGCAUUGUACUACUGACCAUCUUAAAGUAAUUUCACUGCUAACUACGGGAGGAGAUACACACAUUUAGAUUCUUCUAGAAUUUUUUCAGUUACGAGAAAUGGUAGUAAGAAAUUUGUAAGUUUGGUCAGGGAAAGGAAUCUCAAAGCAUUACACAAAUAACAAUGUAGGAAAAGAUAGAAGGGUGGAUGAUCUUUUAUAUUGGAUGAUGAAGAAUGAUAAUGAGGAUAUGAGGCAUGGUGAGUAUACCCAGACAAGAUUAGAGAAAUAACGAACCCCUGCAAUCUCCUUGUAUGUAAGAGUUCCUUCAUCUAUGGAUGCUGAGGACAUUGUACGUACAUGUCUGAUUCGUGGCCCAGCUCUGAGAGGUGACUGACUCUGACUCUGAAAUAAGGCUGAAUUAGGAUAGUGGAAAGAGAAAGGAGAUGUCAAAGACAUGAAGCCCUGAGGAAGUACAUCAAGCACAGCGACCACAAGCACUCAUGGUGCAAGUUCCUAGCAUCAUUAUUUAGAACAUGCCCUUACACCUUUGAAAUAUCUCAGUUGUUAUAAUUAACUAUCAGUCUCCCUCAUUAACUGCCAACAUAUUUGGUAAGAAAGUUUCUAUUUCCCAUAAAUGUAAAAAAAUUAAAUAUUUUAGACACUGUUCUCAUAAGUAAUUAUAACUGUAUUAAAUACCAUGCAGACCCUGACCUUUAUUGUUCUUUUCUAAUAGAGCAACAGAUUUUUACUCUGAAACAUUAACCUCCAAAGUUUUAUGUACAUAAAUUGGUCUGCUGAAAGGUUUUGAGAUUUGGACUUUGUUUUCCCAAAUUGUUCAAUUGGAAAAAAAAUUGAAAAAUUUGGAAAAUUCAAUUGACUUGUUCAAACAGUGAGGGUAUAUGUGAAAGUGUGAUACUAUCUUAAAUCUGUGAACUUUAUGUUCAGAAAGGGUUAAAAGUUAAUGAUCACUACACACGUUACUCGUUUUAUGACUUUACCAAGUUUCCACUCUGAAUCUUAGCUGUCACUUUUGCUUCUUUAUUAAACUCUGCCUCAAAUUACGCACUUUGAGUAUGCCAUCUAUUUCUUUCUGGCAAACUGACUUUUUGCCUGUAUGACCAUAAUAAUUUUUUAAAACCUGCAAAAUUUAAAACUUGUCACUCUUAUUCCUAGAAAAAUACUAAAUAUUGUUUUUCUGCCUGUUACACCUGUGAGUUAAAUAUAGGAAAAAAUGUUGUAGAAAUCAUGAAUUUGCAUAUUCUCACACAUUAACAUUGCACGUAAUGAUUCCUGAAUCCAAUGAU